UACGAAGGGUGCAAACGUUUCUCGGAAUCAUUGGGCGUAAAGCGCACGUAGGCGGCUUCGCAAGUCGGAUGUGAAAUCCCUCGGCUCAACCGAGGACGUGCAUCCGAAACUGCGGGGCUUGAGUACAGAAGAGGAUCGCGGAAUUCCCGGUGUAGAGGUGAAAUUCGUAGAUAUCGGGAGGAACACCAGUGGCGAAGGCGGCGAUCUGGGCUGAUACUGACGCUGAGGUGCGAAAGCGUGGGGAGCAAACAGG
RNAcentral lists this ribosomal RNA (253 nucleotides) under uncultured bacterium. Its description in RNAcentral is "partial 16S ribosomal RNA". It matches the Rfam family "Bacterial small subunit ribosomal RNA", at positions 524 to 776 of the family's 1533-position model. The record is from RNAcentral.